RNAcentral lists this ribosomal RNA (468 nucleotides) under uncultured bacterium. RNAcentral describes it as "partial 16S ribosomal RNA". It matches the Rfam family "Bacterial small subunit ribosomal RNA", at positions 28 to 507 of the family's 1533-position model. The record is from RNAcentral.
GACGAACGCUGGCGGCGUGCUUAACACAUGCAAGUCGAACGGAAAGGCCCUGCUUUUGUGGGGUGCUCGGGUGGCGAACGGGUGAGUAACACGUGAGUAACCUGCCCUUGACUUUGGGAUAACUUCAGGAAACUGGGGCUAAUACCGGAUAGGGGCUCCUGCUGCAUGGUGGGGGUUGGAAAGUUUCGGCGGUUGGGGAUGGACUCGCGGCUUAUCAGCUUGUUGGUGGGGUAGUGGCUUACCAAGGCUUUGACGGGUAGCCGGCCUGAGAGGGUGACCGGCCACAUUGGGACUGAGAUACGGCCCAGACUCCUACGGGAGGCAGCAGUGGGGAAUAUUGCACAAUGGGCGGAAGCCUGAUGCAGCAACGCCGCGUGCGGGAUGACGGCCUUCGGGUUGUAAACCGCUUUCGCCUGUGACGAAGCGUGAGUGACGGUAAUGGGUAAAGAAGCACCGGCUAACUACGUG